UACAGAGGGUGCAAGCGUUAAUCGGAAUUACUGGGCGUAAAGGGCGCGUAGGUGGUUGAUAAAGUCAGAUGUGAAACCCCUGGGCUUAACCUAGGAAUUGCAUUUGAAACUUGUCGACUAGAGUUUGGGAGAGGGAAGUGGAAUUUCAGGUGUAGCGGUGAAAUGCGUAGAUAUCUGAAGGAACAUCAGUGGCGAAGGCGACUUCCUGGCCCGAUACUGACACUGAGGCGCGAAAGCGUGGGUAGCGAACAGG
RNAcentral lists this ribosomal RNA (253 nucleotides) under uncultured bacterium. RNAcentral describes it as "partial 16S ribosomal RNA". It matches the Rfam family "Bacterial small subunit ribosomal RNA", at positions 524 to 776 of the family's 1533-position model. The record is from RNAcentral.